This 128-nucleotide small RNA is filed under the name Paenalicyclobacillus ferrooxydans. RNAcentral's name for it is "Alicyclobacillus ferrooxydans c-di-AMP sequence". It matches the Rfam family "c-di-AMP riboswitch aptamer (ydaO/yuaA leader)". From Rfam's summary of the family: This family represents a conserved RNA structure found upstream of the ydaO and yuaA genes in Bacillus subtilis and related genes in other bacteria. The ydaO/yuaA element is thought to act as a genetic "off" switch for the ydaO and yuaA genes in its native state. The record is from Rfam by way of RNAcentral. Lineage: Bacteria; Bacillati; Bacillota; Bacilli; Caryophanales; Alicyclobacillaceae.
CGUAAACUAUCGCUGAGUUCCAAUGGAAGCGGAGGACCCAAGUAAUUGGGGUGAAUCGCCGUUAGAGGCGUAGGGGUGCCUACAUCCGAACCCGUCAGCUAACUCCGUAAGCGCGUAGGUAUGUGCGG